UCGAACGAUGAACCGCUUCGGUGGGGAUUAGUGGCGAACGGGUGAGUAACACGUGGGCAAUCUGCCCUGCACUCUGGGACAAGCCCUGGAAACGGGGUCUAAUACCGGAUGAUACUGCGGACCGCAUGGUCUGUGGUUGAAAGCUCCGGCGGUGCAGGAUGGGCCCGCGGCCUAUCAGCUUGUUGGUGAGGUAAUGGCUCACCAAGGCGACGACGGGUAGCCGGCCUGAGAGGGCGACCGGCCACACUGGGACUGAGACACGGCCCAGACUCCUACGGGAGGCAGCAGUGGGGAAUAUUGCACAAUGGGCGAAAGCCUGAUGCAGCGACGCCGCGUGAGGGAUGACGGCCUUCGGGUUGUAAACCUCUUUCAGCAGGGAAGAAGCGAAAGUGACGGUACCUGCAGAAGAAGCGCCGGCUAACUACGUGCCAGCAGCCGCGGUAAUACGUAGGGCGCAAGCGUUGUCCGGAAUUAUUGGGCGUAAAGAGCUCGUAGGCGGCUUGUCGCGUCGGUUGUGAAAGCCCGGGGCUUAACCCCGGGUCUGCAGUCGAUACGGGCAGGCUAGAGUUCGGUAGGGGAGAUCGGAAUUCCUGGUGUAGCGGUGAAAUGCGCAGAUAUCAGGAGGAACACCGGUGGCGAAGGCGGAUCUCUGGGCCGAUACUGACGCUGAGGAGCGAAAGCGUGGGGAGCGAACAGGAU
This 699-nucleotide ribosomal RNA is filed under the name Streptomyces sp. ST-928. RNAcentral's name for it is "bacterial SSU rRNA". It matches the Rfam family "Bacterial small subunit ribosomal RNA", at positions 62 to 778 of the family's 1533-position model. RNAcentral also lists the same sequence under 1 other name. The record is from RNAcentral. Lineage: Bacteria; Bacillati; Actinomycetota; Actinomycetes; Kitasatosporales; Streptomycetaceae.